CAUUUGAUGAGGAGUCCCACAAUAGAACGAAACGGCCGUCCAGUGC
This is a non-coding RNA of Schistosoma curassoni, 46 nucleotides long. The record is from Rfam. Lineage: Eukaryota; Metazoa; Platyhelminthes; Trematoda; Strigeidida; Schistosomatidae.